This 474-nucleotide ribosomal RNA is filed under the name uncultured bacterium. RNAcentral describes it as "partial 16S ribosomal RNA". It matches the Rfam family "Bacterial small subunit ribosomal RNA", at positions 28 to 507 of the family's 1533-position model. The record is from RNAcentral.
GAUGAACGCUAGCGGCAGGCCUAACACAUGCAAGUCGAGGGAUAAGCCCUCGGGCUGAAACCGGCGCACGGGUGCGUCACGGGUACACAAUCUGCCUUUCACAUAGGGAUAGCCCGGAGAAAUUUGGAUUAAUACCUAAUGGUAUAUACGAGUGGCAUCAUUUUUAUAUUAAAGCUUUGGUGGUGAAAGUUGAGUAUGCGUUAUAUUAGCUAGUUGGAGAGGUAACGGCUCCCCAAGGCGACGAUAGAUAGGCGUACUGAGAGGGACGUCCCCCACACUGGUACAGGGCUACAGACCAGAGUCCUACGGCACGCAGCAGUCAAGUACAGUAGACAAUGGUCGGGAGUCUUAUCCAGCCAGGCCGCGUGCAGUACAACAGUCCUAUGGAUUGUAAGCUGCGAUUAGAGUUGAAGAGUAAGGUGUACGUGUACUUUGAUGACGGUACCGCACGAAUAAGCACCGGCUAACUCCGUG